GGUCCAUUCAUUGUAUUUACUUGAAUUUAACGUGCUGAUAAAUAAAUUCGAUCAAUUUCUAUGACAUCUAUCCGAAUUUGUUGACAGUGGUCAUCUUAAUUUAACUUGCAUGUAUUAGAAAUUAAAAGACAAUAUGUGUAAAAUCUAUUUAGCCAUGCCUUUAAAACAAAAGUAAUCAUAUAUCGGGGAAAAAAACGUUUCAUUUUGUUAAAAUAAAAUAAUGAUACAGGGUCCGUGUUCAUCAGACAUCAUGUCAAAAUUAAUCAGAAUAGAUUCGUUAUAAACAAAGUUAAGGAAUAUUGAAUGUUUCCUUCUUAAGUCUAAGCUUAAGAUUAUUAAACGUUGAUGAAUGCGGGCCCAGGUAACAAAGUUGCUAAGUUAAAAGCAAGAUCAGCGAUGUUUGCAAUGAUCUUAUAUUCUAUCUUUUUUCUAGUUUAAAUGGCAUCGGACUCUAUAAUGAUGAGUGAGAAUUCACAGUCUGGUUUCUCUGUCUACAAAAAAGAUAAAAAAUCCUGCUCAUGUGAAAUGUCCAUUUUGUGACAAGGAAGUCGAUACAAAAACAACGAUUUUACUAUUGGGGUGUAUUCCAUGUAGUUGCUUGCCUUGCUUGCUGUGCAAAGAUGUUGCCCACAACUGUCCGAAUUGUCAAAAAGAGGUCAGACGCUACGACGGUUUGCACUAGACUUGUCCAAAGCGUACAAAUCGUAGAAGCCACGACGACUUGUACAGGUCAUGUCCUUAUUGUCAAGAUUUUGUCCUAUGCUACAAUGACUUGUCACUGGUAUUUUGUUAGUCCAACUUGUGUCGUAAUUAUUACUUACAUUUUAUUUCCAAGAACAUAAAUGUCAACAAUAUCAUUAUUAUGAACUUAGUGCUAGUAUUAUACCUGCUGUUAUGUCAAUGUAUAAGCCUUGCUAUAGUUAAAUUUUGUAUAGUAUGUAUUGUACCUCAUUAUGUCAUGUUACCAUGAAUUAAUAGAAAUAAACGGAUUGAAUUGAA
Molecule: long non-coding RNA, 999 nt
Organism: Mercenaria mercenaria
Lineage: Eukaryota; Metazoa; Mollusca; Bivalvia; Venerida; Veneridae
Exons: 2
Source: RefSeq, a predicted model, not a curated record